GAUGAACGCUGGCGGCGUGCCUAAUACAUGCAAGUCGAGCGAACAGACGAGGAGCUUGCUCCUCUCACGUUAGCCGCGCACGGGUGAGUAACACGUGGAUCCCCUACCUAUCAGACUGGGAUAACCUCGGGACACCGGCGCUAACACCGGAUAAUCUAUUGAAGCGCGUGGUUCGAUGGUGAAAGACGGUUUUGCUGUCACUUAUCGAUGGAUCUGCGCCGCAUUAGCUAGUUGGUAAGGUAACGGCUUACCAAGGCAACGAGGCGUAGCCGACCUGAGAGGGUGAUCGGCCACCCGAGAGCUUGAACGCGGACAAGGCGACUACGGGAGGCAGCAGUAGGGAAUCGUCCGCAAUAGGCGAAAGCCUGACGGAGCAACCCCGCGUGAGUGAUGAAGGUCUUGGGAGCGUAAAACUCUGUUAUGAGGGAAGAACAAAUGUGUAAGUAACUAUGCACGUCUUGACGGUACCUAGUCAGAAAGCCACGGCUAACUACGUG
This 497-nucleotide ribosomal RNA is filed under the name uncultured bacterium. RNAcentral describes it as "partial 16S ribosomal RNA". It matches the Rfam family "Bacterial small subunit ribosomal RNA", at positions 28 to 507 of the family's 1533-position model. The record is from RNAcentral.